GACAAUGAAAAAUUGCUGACAGAUAAAUUCCUCACCCUUCUUCCUUGUUAUCAACGCUCCCAAGACAUCGUGGUUCUAUAUGACCUCGCUGAAGAGAUUCCAUGACUGAGCAACUGACUCUGACUUUUGCGGGACUCUGGCCAGCUAAGUGCCUCCUUGGCUGAGUUUUCUCUUGAAGACACACUCCCACCACAACCUCACCACAGUGGUCAGUUCCCGGCACAGCCUUCGAAGGAGGUGAAAUCCUUACCUGGGAAAAUAAGCUUGAAGUCCGUGAAAUCCAGAGACCUGGCUCAUCUUUAUGGAGUUUCAGAUUAGCCUUGAAGAAGACUGGCAGCUUCUGUUUCCUGCCUCUUGGAUGCCAGCCACCGUGGAAGAAAUACAGCCACAUUGAGACCCUCAUACUGUGAGGAAAUGAGAAUCCAAUCACACGGACACCGGCUGGAAGGACGUGAGAGCCGCCAUGCGGAGACACCGUACUGAGAAGGAAGGCUGCCCGGCCAGCCCCCAGCU
Molecule: long non-coding RNA, 513 nt
Organism: Sorex araneus (European shrew)
Lineage: Eukaryota; Metazoa; Chordata; Mammalia; Eulipotyphla; Soricidae
Exons: 3
Source: RefSeq, a predicted model, not a curated record